GGUUAAGCGACUAAGCGUACACGGUGGAUGCCCUGGCAGUCAGAGGCGAUGAAGGACGUGCUAAUCUGCGAUAAGCGUCGGUAAGGUGAUAUGAACCGUUAUAACCGGCGAUUUCCGAAUGGGGAAACCCAGUGUGAUUCGUCACACUAUCAUUAACUGAAUCCAUAGGUUAAUGAGGCGAACCGGGGGAACUGAAACAUCUAAGUACCCCGAGGAAAAGAAAUCAACCGAGAUUCCCCCAGUAGCGGCGAGCGAACGGGGAGCAGCCCAGAGCCUGAAUCAGUGUGUGUGUUAGUGGAAGCGUCUGGAAAGGCGCGCGAUACAGGGUGACAGCCCCGUACACAAAAAUGCACAUGCUGUGAGCUCGAUGAGUAGGGCGGGACACGUGGUAUCCUGUCUGAAUAUGGGGGGACCAUCCUCCAAGGCUAAAUACUCCUGACUGACCGAUAGUGAACCAGUACCGUGAGGGAAAGGCGAAAAGAACCCCGGCGAGGGGAGUGAAAAAGAACCUGAAACCGUGUACGUACAAGCAGUGGGAGCACGCUUAGGCGUGUGACUGCGUACCUUUUGUAUAAUGGGUCAGCGACUUAUAUUCUGUAGCAAGGUUAACCGAAUAGGGGAGCCGAAGGGAAACCGAGUCUUAACUGGGCGUUAAGUUGCAGGGUAUAGACCCGAAACCCGGUGAUCUAGCCAUGGGCAGGUUGAAGGUUGGGUAACACUAACUGGAGGACCGAACCGACUAAUGUUGAAAAAUUAGCGGAUGACUUGUGGCUGGGGGUGAAAGGCCAAUCAAACCGGGAGAUAGCUGGUUCUCCCCGAAAGCUAUUUAGGUAGCGCCUCGUGAAUUCAUCUCCGGGGGUAGAGCACUGUUUCGGCAAGGGGGUCAUCCCGACUUACCAACCCGAUGCAAACUGCGAAUACCGGAGAAUGUUAUCACGGGAGACACACGGCGGGUGCUAACGUCCGUCGUGAAGAGGGAAACAACCCAGACCGCCAGCUAAGGUCCCAAAGUCAUGGUUAAGUGGGAAACGAUGUGGGAAGGCCCAGACAGCCAGGAUGUUGGCUUAGAAGCAGCCAUCAUUUAAAGAAAGCGUAAUAGCUCACUGGUCGAGUCGGCCUGCGCGGAAGAUGUAACGGGGCUAAACCAUGCACCGAAGCUGCGGCAGCGACGCUGAUGCGUUGUUGGGUAGGGGAGCGUUCUGUAAGCCUGCGAAGGUGUGCUGUGAGGCAUGCUGGAGGUAUCAGAAGUGCGAAUGCUGACAUAAGUAACGAUAAAGCGGGUGAAAAGCCCGCUCGCCGGAAGACCAAGGGUUCCUGUCCAACGUUAAUCGGGGCAGGGUGAGUCGACCCCUAAGGCGAGGCCGAAAGGCGUAGUCGAUGGGAAACAGGUUAAUAUUCCUGUACUUGGUGUUACUGCGAAGGGGGGACGGAGAAGGCUAUGUUGGCCGGGCGACGGUUGUCCCGGUUUAAGCGUGUAGGCUGGUUUUCCAGGCAAAUCCGGAAAAUCAAGGCUGAGGCGUGAUGACGAGGCACUACGGUGCUGAAGCAACAAAUGCCCUGCUUCCAGGAAAAGCCUCUAAGCAUCAGGUAACAUCAAAUCGUACCCCAAACCGACACAGGUGGUCAGGUAGAGAAUACCAAGGCGCUUGAGAGAACUCGGGUGAAGGAACUAGGCAAAAUGGUGCCGUAACUUCGGGAGAAGGCACGCUGAUAUGUAGGUGAAGUCCCUCGCGGAUGGAGCUGAAAUCAGUCGAAGAUACCAGCUGGCUGCAACUGUUUAUUAAAAACACAGCACUGUGCAAACACGAAAGUGGACGUAUACGGUGUGACGCCUGCCCGGUGCCGGAAGGUUAAUUGAUGGGGUCAGCGCAAGCGAAGCUCUUGAUCGAAGCCCCGGUAAACGGCGGCCGUAACUAUAACGGUCCUAAGGUAGCGAAAUUCCUUGUCGGGUAAGUUCCGACCUGCACGAAUGGCGUAAUGAUGGCCAGGCUGUCUCCACCCGAGACUCAGUGAAAUUGAACUCGCUGUGAAGAUGCAGUGUACCCGCGGCAAGACGGAAAGACCCCGUGAACCUUUACUAUAGCUUGACACUGAACAUUGAGCCUUGAUGUGUAGGAUAGGUGGGAGGCUUUGAAGUGUGGACGCCAGUCUGCAUGGAGCCGACCUUGAAAUACCACCCUUUAAUGUUUGAUGUUCUAACGUGGACCCGUAAUCCGGGUUGCGGACAGUGUCUGGUGGGUAGUUUGACUGGGGCGGUCUCCUCCUAAAGAGUAACGGAGGAGCACGAAGGUUGGCUAAUCCUGGUCGGACAUCAGGAGGUUAGUGCAAUGGCAUAAGCCAGCUUGACUGCGAGCGUGACGGCGCGAGCAGGUGCGAAAGCAGGUCAUAGUGAUCCGGUGGUUCUGAAUGGAAGGGCCAUCGCUCAACGGAUAAAAGGUACUCCGGGGAUAACAGGCUGAUACCGCCCAAGAGUUCAUAUCGACGGCGGUGUUUGGCACCUCGAUGUCGGCUCAUCACAUCCUGGGGCUGAAGUAGGUCCCAAGGGUAUGGCUGUUCGCCAUUUAAAGUGGUACGCGAGCUGGGUUUAGAACGUCGUGAGACAGUUCGGUCCCUAUCUGCCGUGGGCGCUGGAGAACUGAGGGGGGCUGCUCCUAGUACGAGAGGACCGGAGUGGACGCAUCACUGGUGUUCGGGUUGUCAUGCCAAUGGCACUGCCCGGUAGCUAAAUGCGGAAGAGAUAAGUGCUGAAAGCAUCUAAGCACGAAACUUGCCCCGAGAUGAGUUCUCCCUGACCCUUUAAGGGUCCUGAAGGAACGUUGAAGACGACGACGUUGAUAGGCCGGGUGUGUAAGCGCAGCGAUGCGUUGAGCUAACCGGUACUAAUGAACCGUGAGGCUUAACCUU
RNAcentral lists this ribosomal RNA (2904 nucleotides) under Escherichia coli. Its description in RNAcentral is "23S ribosomal RNA". It matches the Rfam family "Bacterial large subunit ribosomal RNA". Lineage: Bacteria; Pseudomonadati; Pseudomonadota; Gammaproteobacteria; Enterobacterales; Enterobacteriaceae. The record is from RNAcentral. RNAcentral also lists the same sequence under 1 other name.